UACGUAGGGUGGGAGCGUUAAUCGGAAUUACUGGGCGUAAAGCGUGCGCAGGCGGUUUUGUAAGCCGGAUGUUAAAUCCCCGGGCUUAACCUGGGAAUGGCAUUCGGGACUGCAAGGCUGGAGUGCGGCAGAGGAGACUGGAAUUCCUGGUGUAGCAGUGAAAUGCGUAGAGAUCAUGAGGAAGACCAGUGGCGAAGGCGGGUCUCUGGACAGUUCCUGACACUGAGGCACGAAGGCCAGGGGAGCAAACGGG
This 253-nucleotide ribosomal RNA is filed under the name uncultured bacterium. Its description in RNAcentral is "partial 16S ribosomal RNA". It matches the Rfam family "Bacterial small subunit ribosomal RNA", at positions 524 to 776 of the family's 1533-position model. The record is from RNAcentral.